This 163-nucleotide ribosomal RNA is filed under the name Thermothelomyces thermophilus. RNAcentral describes it as "partial small subunit ribosomal RNA". It matches the Rfam family "Eukaryotic small subunit ribosomal RNA", at positions 1639 to 1799 of the family's 1831-position model. The record is from RNAcentral. Lineage: Eukaryota; Fungi; Ascomycota; Sordariomycetes; Sordariales; Chaetomiaceae.
CGUUGAUUACGUCCCUGCCCUUUGCACACACCGCCCGUCGCUACUACCGAUUGAAUGGCUCAGUGAGGCUUUCGGACUGGCCCAGAGAGGUCGGCAACGACCACUCAGGGCCGGAAAGUUAUCCAAACUCGGUCAUUUAGAGGAAGUAAAAGUCGUAACAAGG